GGGCGAGGCCCUGGCGGUGCCUAACGCAACAGGUUUCCCGAGGCCGCCUUUUUUCUUGCUAAACCCUUGGCCUACCAUCCGGAAGCCUGAGGCGUCCUGCGGGAAAGGACUGGAUUGCCGCCAUAUUUUUCACCCAGGAAGGGUGGAAAGAAAACUAAGCUGCUUUGGUAAUAGUUUCCGGGAAUUCGGGAAUCAAGAAUAAAGCACUUCGACCUAAAAAUAGAGAUCCAGAGUCCAGGUAGGGGGUCACCGUGGGCCAGCACCCCUCAGGGUUAGUUUUAUCCUGGGGCACUGCAGGCUGUCAGGACUGCCUGGGCCCUUACUUGGUAUUUGGCAUUAGUCAGGCAUUAUUGGGAACAAUAUUUGAGUUUUUCUUGCUUGAAUGCCUGCUGCUGGAUCGUCUCGGGGCCGUCUUGUUUUCACAAUCUCAAAGGUUUCGCUUCUGCACUCCCAGCCCCUAAGGAGACAGAAUACAUGCCUUAAAGAAACGAAGGAACUGAAUGUUCGUUUUUCUGCCAGUGCGACAAUAUCGAGACUAAAAUUUGGCUACAAAAGACAUCUUACUCCUAACUGUUGAAAGCAGAACUUUCCCGUCCACAGAACUAUCAGUAGAAAAGUGCAAAAUGGAAAAGUUGCAAAGCUGCAAGGUACCACAGAGAACCAGCAAUGUGUCUCAUAAAGAGGAUUUUUAUUUCCACUAGGUGGCUUAAAAAUACCAUGUGCUCGCCAGAGAAACCGUAGAGAGUAAGAGACGUUCAUUGAAUUACUGCCUGCCAUGAUUCGUGAUCUUUUCUAACAGAACUGUUUCCCUGAACUGUAAAGAUUCCUGCACAUUAGACACACACAGAGAGGGUAAGAGAUCGCAGAUAGAGAAAGUUUGGUGACAGGGUAGUUGGAAGAGAGCCUUGAGAUUAAAGGACAGAUUUAAAGUUGAGAUCCACUCCAUACUUACCAGUCUGAUGAAUGAAUUUCUUUUGCUGGCCCAUGCACCAAAAUGAUACAGCUCUGAGGAGUGGAGGUGAGAUACAGGACUAGCUGGAUUUCCUAGGCAGACUAAGAAUCCCUAAGCCUAGCUGGGAAGGUGACCGCUUCCACCUUUAAAUAUGGGGCUUGCAACUUAGCUCACACAUGACCAAUCAGAUAGUAAGGAGAGCUCACUAUAAUGCUAAUUAGGCAACAACAGGAGGUAAAGAAAUAGCCAAUCAUCUGUUGCCUGAGAGCAUAGCGGGAGGGACAGUGAUCAGGAUAUAAACCCAGGCAUUCAACCCGGCAACGGCAACCCCCUUUGGGUCCCCUUCCUUUGUAUGGGAGCUCUAUUUUCACUCUAUUAAAUCCUGCAGCUGCACUCUUCUGGUCCGUGUUUGUUACCGCUCGAGCUGAGCUUUCGCUCACCGUCCACCACUGCUGUUUGCCACCACUGCUGUUUGCCGCCAUUGCAGACCCACCGCUGACUUCCAUCCCUCUGGAUCCUGCAGGGUGUCCACUGUGCUCCUGACCCAGCGAGGCACCCAUUGCCACUUCCAAUCGGGCUAAAGGCUUGCCAUUGUUCCUAUACGGCUAAGUGCCUUGGUUCAUCCUAACCGAGCUGAACACUAGUCACUGGGUUCCACGGUUGUCUUCCAUGAUCCAUGGCUUCUAAUAGAGCUGUAACACUCACGGCAUGGCCCAAGAUUCCAUUCCUUGGAAUCCGUGAGGCCAAGAACCCCAGGUCAGAGAACACGAGACUUGCCGCCAUUUUGGAAGCAGCUCGCCACCAUCUUGGGAGCUCUGGAAGCAAGGACCCCCAGUAACAGAGGAACCUGUUGAUUCUUCGUCUCAUAUUGAAUUGGGAAAAAUGACACGGACACACAUGGAGUGGUUUUAAGGAGCAGAGAGUUUAAUAGGCAAGAAAGAAGGAAGAAGCUCCCCUUUACAGAGACAGAGGGAGGGGGGCUCCAAAGCCAAGAGAGGAGACCCACACGUGGGAUGGAAAAUAGCCAAAUAUACGUAGAGGCUGGAGUAGGCGGUGUCUGAUUUGCAUAGGGCUCAGGGGAUUGGUUUGACCAGGGAUGUCAUUCACAUAGACUGAAAAACUGGCCUUCCCACCCUAGCCUUUUAAUAUGCAAAUGCAGGACACGAAGAUGUUCUACACCUGGUGAGAUAUGUGGGGGCAGCCAUGUUGUCAGGCACAUGUCAGGGCUAGGGCAAAAGGAAAAUGGUGGAAAUCACCAUGUUGGGUGGACCCAGUUUCUAAUGGCUGGCAUUUGCAUAUUAAAGGUUGCUGGCCCAGCUCUAAGAGCCAGGGCCUUCCUGCUAGACAAGAAACAUUUCUGGAACUGCUUUAAAAGAAACAAAAACGUUCCAAGGACCCCUUUUCGUCUCUAUCUGCCUAAAAUAAUUUCUUAAUAACUCCUAUCACACUGCUUUUCAAAUAUAAAUGUAAGGUCAAAGGUCAGCAGAAUUGUUUAAUAAUACAAGUUAGGCAAUAUAGUAUUUUACUCAUAGUAUAUACAGUAUUUCCCAUUAUAACUGAUGUAAUCGAAGACAAACCUUUUGGCUGUCUUGCAAUUAAAAAGUCACAGGUGAGGUUGCAGUGAGCCUAGAUUGCACCACUGCACUCCAGCCCCAGGGCAAGACCCUGUCUCUAAAACAAAACAAAACAGAAGUCACAGGCAUUUCAUAUUUAUUAAUCAUAUUGCUCAGUGACCUACUCCAUUCUGGAAAAUAAAGAACCCAGGAUUUUUUUUUCUUGUGUUGAGAAAUUUUAAUUCUAAAAAAGGCCAAUUCCCAAGCAUUUAGUUUUAAGUCCUCUUUUAAAAGUUACUUCUUCAAAAUCCCAAGAAAUAAAAGAGAUUUGCUAAAGAUCCAGCUAAGCAAAAGUCCUGUCGAGUAUCUCUAUAUAUUCACUGGCUACUUGCCCUUCUUUCUUGGUGACCUACCUGUAUGUCCUUUGUCCAUUUUUGUGGGGUGGAGAAAAGUUUGGUCUUUAAGUACUCUCUAAAUAAUACAGCAAUUACCCUUUGUGGUAUAAGUUGCAUUUUUUUCUUGCAGUUUAUCAGUUGAUUUUUCUUAUGGUUUUUUUUCCUAUCUUGCAUGAUUUUAAAUUGAAAUUCAAGUUCAUGUCUAUCUCUCUCUUUAUAUCGUUCGUUGUCAAAGUAAAUGUAGCCGAAUUCACCUUUAAAGCAACUAUUAAACAGAAUUACACAGAAAUGAGCAGUAGUAUACAGAAAUAUUCUGAUGUUUUUUAGAGGUCGUUAGCAUAGCCCAUAAUAACAUAAAUUUUUGAUCUCUAAAGAUGUAGACUGGUUAAAGAACACAAGGUCACUUAUUUUAAAAAUGUCAGAACAUGUUUAUUAUUUUCAUAAAUAUUUUAAAAGUUGUGCUUUUAAAAGUUAGUAUAUUCUGAAUUCAUAAAAAGCUACUUACUUUUAUAAUAACAAUCAUUUCAAUUUUUAUUAUGUUUUUUGUAGAGAACAUAGCACAGAGAGCUUUUGAAAUAAAGCUUAGAAAAUAUCCAGAGCUGGCCGGGCACGGUGGCUCAUGCCUGUAAUCCCAGCACUUUGGGAGGCUGACGCGGGUGGAUCAUGAGGUCAGGAGAUUGAGAUCAUACUGGCUAACAUGGUGAAAUCCCGUCUCUACUAAAAAUGCAAAAAGUUAGCCGGGCAUGGUGGCGGGUGCCUGUAGUUCCAGCUACUCGGGAGGCUGAGGCAGGAGUAUCACCUGAACCUGGGAGGCGGAGGUUGCCGAGGUCAUGCCACUGCACUCCAGCCUGGGUGACAGAGCAAGAAUCUGUCUCAGAAAGAAAGAAAGAAAAUAUCCAAAGCUUAUAUUCCAAAUAUUUCUCUUGAGUAGUCUUAACCACUCUUUCCAUAAUCAUUUAAUGCCUUUUUAGUAAAUUAACUUUUCUCCCUACAGAAAGUAAAAACUGAUAUAGCAUAUAUUUCACUCCAAACUGUGUAAAAGACUAGGGUUCUGCUCUAUAAAAUAAAAGGAAACUAAGGGGGGAAAAGUAUGUAUGUGAAAAAACACAUAUGUGAAAGAAGAUAGGCAGAAAAUGAAUCAAAAUAUUAGGAGUGGUUAUCAGUAGGUAGCAUAAUUAUAAGUGACUUAUUUUUCAUAACUUUCUGCAUUUCCAAGCUCUCCUUACUGAGCCCAUUCCAUAUUACAAA
Pongo pygmaeus (Bornean orangutan) is the source of this 4148-nucleotide long non-coding RNA. RefSeq lists it as uncharacterized. The record is from RefSeq and is a predicted model, not a curated record. Lineage: Eukaryota; Metazoa; Chordata; Mammalia; Primates; Hominidae. The transcript has 2 exons.